RNAcentral lists this ribosomal RNA (253 nucleotides) under uncultured bacterium. RNAcentral describes it as "partial 16S ribosomal RNA". It matches the Rfam family "Bacterial small subunit ribosomal RNA", at positions 524 to 776 of the family's 1533-position model. The record is from RNAcentral.
GACAGAGGGUGCAAACGUUGUUCGGAAUUACUGGGCGUAAAGCGCGUGUAGGCUGUUCUGCAAGUCGGGUGUGAAAGCCCCGGGCUCAACCUGGGAAGUGCACUCGAAGCUGCAGAACUCGAGUCCUGGAGAGGAAGGCGGAAUUCUCGGUGUAGAGGUGAAAUUCGUAGAUAUCGAGAGGAACACCGGUGGCGAAGGCGGCCUUCUGGACAGUGACUGACGCUGAGACGCGAAAGCGUGGGGAGCAAACAGG